Molecule: ribosomal RNA, 324 nt
Filed under: Physarum pseudonotabile
Lineage: Eukaryota; Evosea; Eumycetozoa; Physariida; Physaraceae
Description: bacterial SSU rRNA
Rfam family: Eukaryotic small subunit ribosomal RNA
Source: RNAcentral
UCUGAAUCUGCGAACGGCUCCGCAAACCAGUUGUAAACCAUAGCAAGCACGCCCUGGGUCGGCCGCAAGGCUGGUCCGGGGCUAUAGGGAUAACCCUGGUAAUUCUGAGGCUAAUACAUGAACGUAACCCCCGGCUGAAGGGUAACUGGACGUCGGGGACCGUGCGAGUAGGCGCAAAGUUUAUUGGGAAUAGUCGCACAGUACGACCGCCAUACCAAACAGUAGCCGCUACGUCCCCUCACGGGGGCCGGUGGUGUCUGGGCGGCUCUUGCAAGGUGCUUCUGACCUAUCAACUAGAUGGCAGCGUAAUGGACAUGCUAUGGU